RNAcentral lists this non-coding RNA (24 nucleotides) under Arabidopsis thaliana (thale cress). The record is from RNAcentral. Lineage: Eukaryota; Viridiplantae; Streptophyta; Magnoliopsida; Brassicales; Brassicaceae.
AGAGUGUCAAGGAUCACGUCACUC